UCUUUUCUCUAACACUAGUUAAAUCUAGAAAUAAGUUGGAAAAUCCUACAACCACAUAAUCGCGGCAUACUCUGUAUAGGAUUCAUCAGAGAGCACGACUCCUCCAUAGUCAUCUCUAUUUCAAUAGCAGCUCAACAGAAACUCUGUAGGUGUUUGAAGACAGAAAUAAAGAAGUAAAAGAACCCAGAUCUGAUUUUCUUCAAAGCGAAUGAGAGCACGACUCCUCCUUAGCAGAUCGUUAGAUUUUCUUCUUCUCUCUUAUAUCUUUGAACCCAGAUUUGAUCUCGGGUAAGAAGCAGAUCGAUUCCAGGUGAAAGAGAACUCUCCCAGAUGAAAAAUUUUAGACCCAGAUAGCAAAUACUUGGGUCUUGAUCUCAGGUGUCAUUUGGCAUAAGAAGGGGUUCUGGUCUUCUGGAGAUGCAGCAGACAAAGGGGAAGAUGAAGAGAACGGGAAGAUGCAGAAAUAAAGAAUAAAUCUGGAGUGUGUUUCUUUGUUCAAUCAUGUCAUUUUUGUUUGUAUAUUUAUUGGGAGAGGUAUUGGCAUUCAUCCCCCUCUUCCUCCUUGUAUCAUUUCUGGAAUAUAUUGAGAAUUUUACUGAUUAAUUACUGUUA
Long non-coding RNA from Rosa chinensis, 612 nucleotides. RefSeq lists it as uncharacterized. The record is from RefSeq and is a predicted model, not a curated record. NCBI's taxonomy places the organism in Eukaryota, Viridiplantae, Streptophyta, Magnoliopsida, Rosales, Rosaceae. The transcript has 4 exons.